UUUAUCUUUAUAAUUGUCUUAUUUUUCCAAUUUUAUGGAAAAAGUAAUGCCCAUGUAGGAUAUAUAGGUUCCCCCAACAAUAUGCCUAUCAUCAAUUCUAUCUAUACCUGUCUCCAGAAAGUUCAUCAAUUCUCUCUCCUAUAUAUGUAUAUGUACAUAUACAUAUAUAGGAGAGAGAAUUGAUGAACUUUCUGGAGACAGGUAUAGAUAGAAUUGAUGAUAGGCAUAUUGUUGGGGGAACCUAUAUAUCCUACAUGGGCAUUACUUUUUCCAUAAAAUUGGAAAAAUAAGACAAUUAUAAAGAUAAAUUACAUUCUGGAUUUACUUAUCUUGUAUCCAAUAUUAAUGCUAAUGCCAUUUGUUGCCUUGCAUUCUUGUUGGCAUCAUUGGUUCCUAUCCAAACUGAUUAAGUUCAUAAAAGUUUUUUGAUUUUCAGUUCAAUUUUAUGCAGAGCCAUAAUGCUAACAGCACAUUGUAUUCUUAUAAUUACAUAGAUGGCUUCAUUCUUCAAUGUAUAAGACCUCAGAUGGCUCCAAGGAAAUUAUCUGAGUGAGCUGCAAUUGUGCCUUGGCAUCUGUGCUUGCUUCACAAAUGUUGUUGUGGGCCAACUACUUAUUAAUAGUAUGAGAAUUGGAUGAUUCAGGUAUAUAAUCAUCAUUUUGGUGAAGAUGAUUGAUGACUUGAUGAAGCUGAAGAGAGCUGUGGAUGAAGUUAUUUUUACAGAAUUUGGAGAGCACAUUGAAUAUUAUUAUUUUUAUGAUUUUGUAUUGUCAUAUUGUAUUUAAAGGGGUUU
Molecule: non-coding RNA, 793 nt
Organism: Camellia sinensis
Lineage: Eukaryota; Viridiplantae; Streptophyta; Magnoliopsida; Ericales; Theaceae
Source: RefSeq, a predicted model, not a curated record